CAGAUCCUAUUAGCGGCGGACUGGUGAGUAACGCGUGGGUGAUCUACCUUAAGGGUCUGGAUAGCCGGUAGAAAUAUCGGGUAAUACAGGAUACGUUAGUUCUGCUGUGGCGGAGCUAAGAAAGGUGCUACGGCAUCGCCUUGAGAUGAGCCCGCGUCCCAUUAGCUAGUUGGAGGGGUAAGAGCCCACCAAGGCGAAGAUGGGUAGCCGGCCUGAGAGGGUGAACGGCCACACUGGGACUGAGAUACGGCCCAGACUCCUACGGGAGGCAGCAGCUAAGAAUAUUCCGCAAUGGACGAAAGUCUGACGGAGCGACGCCGCGUGUAUGAGGAAGGCCGAAAGGUUGUAAAGUACUUUUGCGGAUGAAGAAUAAGCGGUGGAGGGAAUGCCAUCGUGAUGACGCAAGUCCGUGAAUAAGCCCCGGCUAAUUAC
Molecule: ribosomal RNA, 432 nt
Filed under: uncultured bacterium
Lineage: Bacteria
Description: bacterial SSU rRNA
Rfam family: Bacterial small subunit ribosomal RNA
Source: RNAcentral